GCAAGUCGAACGGUAGAAGGUCUUCGGACCUUUGAGAGUGGCGAACGGGUGAGUAACACGUAGGUAAUCUGCCUCUACGUUGGGGAUAGCCCAUGGAAACAUGGAGUAAUACCGAAUAAGGUCUUUUCUGCUGAGGCGGGGAAGAAGAAAGGUGCUACGGCACCGCGUGGAGAUGAGCCUGCGGCUCAUUAGCUAGUUGGUAGGGUAAAGGCCUACCAAGGCAACGAUGAGUAGCCGGCCUGAGAGGGUGACC
This 253-nucleotide ribosomal RNA is filed under the name uncultured bacterium. RNAcentral describes it as "partial 16S ribosomal RNA". It matches the Rfam family "Bacterial small subunit ribosomal RNA", at positions 57 to 305 of the family's 1533-position model. The record is from RNAcentral.